CUCUUGGUUCUUUUGUGUGGCCUGCUGUUCUAAUAACUGAUGCUUACAAUGGUUUGAACAAUCAGCCUUACAGACGGCAAAAGGACAAAGAAUUUGGAGGUCACUGCAUUAAAGUCACAAUUGGAUGAACAAAAUAAACGAAAUGAAGAACGUGACAAAAGACUUGAUGCAAUCAUGAAC
Molecule: RNA transcript, 180 nt
Organism: Vigna unguiculata (cowpea)
Lineage: Eukaryota; Viridiplantae; Streptophyta; Magnoliopsida; Fabales; Fabaceae
Source: RefSeq, a predicted model, not a curated record